GCCUACGGGGGGCAGCAGUAGGGAAUUUUCGUCAAUGGGCGCAAGCCUGAACGAGCAAUGCCGCGUGAACGAGGAAGGUCUUCGGAUCGUAAAGUUCUGUUGAAGGGGAAAAAGAGCGGAGAGAGGAAAUGGUCUCCGAUUGAUAUUACCCUUCGAGGAAGUCACGGCUAACUACGUGCCAGCAGCCGCGGUAAUACGUAGGUGGCGAGCGUUAUCCGGAAUGAUUGGGCGUAAAGGGUGCGUAGGCGGCCUGCUAAGUCUGGAGUGAAGGGUACCGGCUCAAACGGUACAGGCUCUGGAAACUG
Molecule: ribosomal RNA, 305 nt
Filed under: uncultured bacterium
Lineage: Bacteria
Description: bacterial SSU rRNA
Rfam family: Bacterial small subunit ribosomal RNA
Source: RNAcentral